UACGUAGGGGGCUAGCGUUAUCCGGAUUUACUGGGUGUAAAGGGAGCGUAGGUGGCAUGGUAAGCCAGAAGUGAAAACCCGGGGCUCAACCCCGCGGAUUGCUUUUGGAACUAUCAGGCUGGAGUGCUGGAGGGGUAAGCGGAAUUCCUAGUGUAGCGGUGAAAUGCGUAGAUAUUAGGAGGAACACCGGUGGCGAAGGCGGCUUACUGGACAGAAACUGACACUGAGGCUCGAAAGCGUGGGGAGCAAACAGG
This 254-nucleotide ribosomal RNA is filed under the name uncultured bacterium. RNAcentral describes it as "partial 16S ribosomal RNA". It matches the Rfam family "Bacterial small subunit ribosomal RNA", at positions 524 to 776 of the family's 1533-position model. The record is from RNAcentral.